AACGAACGCUGGCGGCAGGCUUAACACAUGCAAGUCGAACGCAUCCUUCGGGGUGAGUGGCAGACGGGUGAGUAACACGUGGGAACGUACCUUUCGGUUCGGGAUAACCCAGGGAAACUUGGGCUAAUACCGGAUACGUCCUUUGGGAGCAGUCCUUUGGGAGAAAGAUUCAUUGCCGAGAGAUCGGCCCGCGUCUGAUUAGCUAGUUGGUGGGUAACGGCUCACCAAGGCGACGAUCAGUAGCUGGCUGAGAGGAUGAUCAGCCACACUGGGACUGAGACACGGCCCAGACUCCUACGGGAGGCAGCAGUGGGGAAUAUUGGACAAUGGGCGCAAGCCUGAUCCAGCCAUGCCGCGUGAGUGAUGAAGGCCUUAGGGUUGUAAAGCU
Molecule: ribosomal RNA, 388 nt
Filed under: uncultured bacterium
Lineage: Bacteria
Description: bacterial SSU rRNA
Rfam family: Bacterial small subunit ribosomal RNA
Source: RNAcentral